This 49-nucleotide ribosomal RNA is filed under the name Aspergillus tubingensis. Its description in RNAcentral is "partial 28S ribosomal RNA". The record is from RNAcentral. Lineage: Eukaryota; Fungi; Ascomycota; Eurotiomycetes; Eurotiales; Aspergillaceae.
UCAGGUAGGGAUACCCGCUGAACUUAAGCAUAUCAAUAAGCGGAGGAAA